GUCCAUCCUCAGGGAUGGUCCCCCUUGGCCUGACCUGCUGUUAAUGUUGUUAGCUUCUCAUUUCCAGGAGUACUAAAUCUAUUACAAAGUAUUAAAACUGGUGUUUGGAAUAUGAUCUAAUUAAUGCAUUCUGCUUUAUUUGAAUUCAACAGUAGAAGAAAUCUUGGCUUUGAACUUUUUUCUCACACUGUGCAGUAGUACGAGGACAGCAAAAACUGAGAUUUACGAAGGAUGAGACUGCUGCUGGACACAGACAAAGGCCUGGUUGGGAAGCCAGCCAGGAAGCCUGAUUGCUGAUGGAAGCUUCCUCUUUUACUCAUGAAGUAGUAGAUGGAGAAGAAAGAGUCAAAAAAAAGGCUUUUCCCAUCAUUCUCUCAACUGAGUCUGCAGAAGAUCAGCUCCAGUUCAAUGUGACUCUGGUGCCCAGUGAUGGUUGAGAACCAUUAGAACCCACCUCAGGAGUUGUAAUGAGGGAAGACUUUCUAGAAGGAGUAACAGCUGAGUGGAGACCUGGAAAGCACACAUGCAGAAUCCAGCUACUGAGUAAAUAUCUCUUAAAUGACCCGCAAGGAAUUCCAUCGGAGAUGAUGUGAAAAGAAGCAUGUUUAUUUAAACAAACUUCUUCAGUGCUGGCUGAAUAACUCUUUAAAGCAUGUUCUCCUCAGCUUCCCAAACAGAUGACCCUUAUAUUUUCGGUCUUAGGGAAGGCCAGACAGUGUCCAGAUAGAACACUGGGAAAAUUCUUGUGGCAUUCAAUGGAUUAGAAGAAUGUUGUCUGCAUGUAUGAUUUUCUUCUUCCACUUAUAGGUCACAAUUUGAACAGGGCAUAGCUGGAAUUGCUGAUCUAUGCUCUACAAUGAUCGGGGCCUUAGGUGGAGUGGCUCUCAUGUCUGAAGUUGGCUGAGAUGGCUGGACUGGGGCCUUGGUGUGAGCUGUUGGUUGGGUUCACUUCCUUAGUUCAUCUCUAUAACAUGUCUGCUGGGCUGGAAUGUCCAUGAUGCCUUCUUCACUCACCUGUCUGCAACUUGGACUGGGAUGGCUGGAAUAGGUAGGGCCAUACAGGUGCCCAAAAGAGAAAAUAAAUAAACUCGAGCAAGCUGAUUUUAAAGUUACCCCAUGGGAUAGAAAUAUUUAUUAUCUCCUCAGUUACGAAUGCUUAAACUCAUUUGAACCUUUAUAACAACUCUUAUCUGGUGCUUGAACAAGAAAGAUAGAGAAUCAACUAGGAAAAAUGCUUCCUUACAGCGGAGUGAGGUUAGAAAAAUGCACUACAAAGAAAUAUGUAUUGUGUUCUUUCAAGACUGACCAUUGUAGUGCCAUGAAAGGGCUGGCAGAUCUCUUGGGAAGAAAAUGUACAGAUCACUUGAGAUGAAAAUGAAUGAGUGAUAAAAAAGAAAGUUGUUUCUCGAGGAAAAUGAAGACAUCAGCUUCCUCCAUAUCUGCCCCCUUCCAGAGUUGCCGGUGCCGCCUGACUCUGAGAUUUGUAAGAGGAAAUGACCUCAGUUUGCUACAGGGCUUACGCAGAGGCUCCACUAACUGCUGCCCAGUGGUAUGGAUUGUGAACUCUCCUUCUUCCCCUCUCAUGCCAGCUCCCAAAAAUAACCCAGUGGGAACAACCCAGCAGCCUCUCCCUCAAGACCUGCAAAUCAAAGCCCUGAUUAGGUCAAAGGAUGGGAAAUGCGGCUGCAGAGCUACUCAGGGGCGCUCUAAUGCCAAGGGCGUAGAAGACUUCCUGUUCCCUCGGAGGCUGGCUCAGAGCCACAAGGCAGACUUCACUCAGGAGACCUCGGCCCAUCUCUUUGGCUCCUUGAACCUGAUGGGAUUCCAGAAGUCCAGAGAUGAACACUGUCCAACCUACACUUGCCGGACCUCUGACGGAGGAAAGCCCGAUCUUGCUGGGGAUGCCUCACUCCCUGGGAAAGUUAUUCCCUCUGGCCCUUCCUUAUGUUAAAUGAGGCCAGUGAGAAAUGUUUUUCCUUCUUCAUUUCUGAUGGGGACAGUGAGAGCAGCAACUAGUAUCACUGUGAUGUCACCUUACAGUUUGAAUGAAAAGAAUAGGAAAUAGUCCCUGCCCCAUAACUAAGAUAGGCGUUUCUGGUAGGCAUUGAGGGGAAGUGAUAGAGCAAAUGGGGAGGGUUGGUGGGUAGAAACGAGCAUAGCAAGUGCUCUGCAACAGAGAACAGCAAACUGCCAAACUACAGACAGCUCCUUGGUCCAAUCUGGCCUCUCACCUGUUUGUAAAUACAAU
Molecule: long non-coding RNA, 2248 nt
Filed under: Equus asinus (donkey)
Lineage: Eukaryota; Metazoa; Chordata; Mammalia; Perissodactyla; Equidae
Description: lncRNA (ENSEASG00005037527.1)
Source: RNAcentral